CUGGUUUGAUUAGCGGGGAAAGUACAGUUUCCUUAGCUCAGCAUCCUCCGCCACCAAAUCUCCGCUUUCCCCUUUGAUUUGCUUAAGCCUCCUCCACCUGUGCCGUCAUUAUAGCCUCCAAGCUAGCCAACUUCAUCCACCAGACUGAUCCAACCUUUGACACCAACUUCAUUUCACUUCCAAAUUGUAAAUCAAAGUAAAGAGUUGUUUUUGACGAAAACCCAAUAAUCAUCUUCAACUAAAAGGCUCAAAUUUAACAUUUUGAAUCAGAAAAGGAAGGAAAAAGAAAGAAGUGGGAAAUGGAGAUAACUGCCAGAGCUCCAGGGAAGAUCAUACUCGCCGGUGAACAUGCUGUGGUUCAUGGAUAUGCUGCUGUUGCUUCCUCCAUUAAUCUCUAUACUGUUGUCUCUCUUCGUCUUGGUUCUGAGGAUGAAGAUACAAUACAACUUCAGCUCAACGAUGUUGGAUUAGACUUUUCUUGGCCAGUUGAAAGAAUCAAAGAACUGCUAUCUCAUUUAGGUUCUCCAUUUUCGUCUACACCCACAUUAUGCUCACUGGAGACUGUUAAAUCCAUCAGCACUCUAAUUGAUGACCAAAAUUUCCCUGAUACAAAGGUUGGACUUGCUUCUGGGGUUUGUGCAUUUCUUUGGUUGUACACCUCUAUCUUAGGGUUUAAGCCAGCUACAGUUAUUGUUACUUCUGAGCUUCCAGUGGGUGCUGGCCUGGGUUCAUCAGCUGCAUAUUGUGUUGCACUUUCCGCUGCUCUGCUGGCAUUUUCAGAUUCUGUGAAUUUGGACGUAAGCCAAAAAGGAUGGUUGAUUUUUAAGGAGACUGAUAUUGAAUUGCUGAAUAGGUGGGCUUUGGAAGGAGAGAAGAUAAUUCAUGGAAAGCCCUCUGGAGUUGACAACUCAGUUAGCACAUUUGGCAACAUGAUAAAAUUCAAGUCAGGUGACAUGGCCCGUAUCAAUUCCAAUAUGCCACUGAGAGUGCUCAUUACCAACACAAAAGUUGGGAGGGAUACAAAAGCAUUGGUUGCCAAUGUUUCAGCAAGGAAAUCUAGGCAUCCCAAUGCCAUGUGUUCUGUGUUAAAUGCCAUUGAAGCUAUCAGCGAUGAAUGGUCUGCCAUUAUCCAGUCACAUGCUGUAGAUGAUUUAGCCGAGAAUGAAGAGAGGCUAGGAGAGUUAAUGGAAAUGAAUCAGGGUUUGCUCCUAUCUAUAGGUGUCAGCCAUGCAUCUAUAGAAACUGUUCUUCAGACAACAAUGAAGUAUAAGCUGGCUUCCAAAUUGACAGGAGCCGGUGGUGGAGGCUGUGUGCUAACACUCUUACCAACCCAGCUAUCAGGGGCAGUUGUUGAUAAAGUAGUGGAGGAGCUAGAAUCAUACGGGUUUCAGUGUUUCACAGCUGGAAUUGGUGGGAAAGGUGUUCAAAUUUCCUUUGAAACAUCUUCCUGAUUUCCCUCUCCAUGUCUGUGUUGUAGUAAGAUCUUUCUUCGAAUAAAAACAUGAAGCAGAUGAUACAAGAUAAAACAUCAAUGCUUUGGAUAUUUCGACUCUCAAAAAUCUGCUCGAGCUCCUGGGCAAGUGCAAUGCUCCUCAAGCAGUAGCUGGGCUUGGAAGAAACUGCUUAAACUCAGGCACCAGACACUUAUCAGGCCAUGCGACAUCAACAGACUAGAGUGGAUUGGGAUAGGCUACUAGUUUCAAUAUAACAUUCCCAAGCAUGCCAUGAUUGCUUGGAUGACCAUCCUAGACAAACUGCCCACUCUCAACAGGCUCUCUACAUGGAGUAUUCCAAUUGCUACCAGUUUAUGUUUUCUUUGAGGAUAGAGAUCAUUUAUUCUUCUUCUGUUCCUUCUCCAGGCAGUUGUGGACCGGAGUACUUCACUGCUCUGGUAUUUUCAAGACUGUUUGAAGUUGGUCAGAUGAGUUUGUUUGGGUCAAUGUCAAUGCAAGUUGCUGAAAGGAAAAUCUUUCCCUGUGGUUAUCCUCAAGAUAGCACGGUUGCUUGUAUCUAUUUCCUUUGGAUGGAAAGGAAUUGCAGGGAAGUUUGUAAAGCUAGCUCGUGAUGUUGAUGCUCUUUUCAAGGUUAAUCCCAAGUGGUUAAAGAUAAAGAUGCCUUGUUUAUGUCAGAGUUGGAGGAUUGCUGAUGAUGCUGUAUUAUAAAUACUUUCUUUGAUCAGUUUUGUCACUGAUUUAUUUUAGUAGGAAGCAGCAUAUUCUUGCCCGUUGGAUAAAUAAAAAAUUUGCAUUUAUCCAAAAAAGACGAAACAUCGGCUUGGUAAACCAU
Durio zibethinus is the source of this 2286-nucleotide RNA transcript. It is a transcript of the gene named mevalonate kinase-like, with no coding region annotated. NCBI's taxonomy places the organism in Eukaryota, Viridiplantae, Streptophyta, Magnoliopsida, Malvales, Malvaceae. The record is from RefSeq and is a predicted model, not a curated record.